GAAAUAAAAGUUAAGAAUCAAGCUGCUAACUUGAUAAUUAGCGGUUAAAUUCCGUUAUUAUUUCU
RNAcentral lists this transfer RNA (65 nucleotides) under Oecanthus rufescens. RNAcentral describes it as "tRNA-Ser". RNAcentral also lists the same sequence under 1 other name. Lineage: Eukaryota; Metazoa; Arthropoda; Insecta; Orthoptera; Gryllidae. The record is from RNAcentral.